GCCACAGGCAACGGCCCGAAGGGCGAGGCGCUUUAGCGCCGAGUAAUCCUUCCCCCACCACCA
This 63-nucleotide small RNA is filed under the name Klebsiella pneumoniae. RNAcentral's name for it is "partial RtT sRNA". It matches the Rfam family "RtT RNA", at positions 70 to 130 of the family's 130-position model. Rfam says of the family: This family represents a bacterial cis-regulatory element known as RtT RNA. Lineage: Bacteria; Pseudomonadati; Pseudomonadota; Gammaproteobacteria; Enterobacterales; Enterobacteriaceae. The record is from RNAcentral.